This is a long non-coding RNA of Homo sapiens (human), 1454 nucleotides long. Ensembl annotates it as UXT antisense RNA 1. Its record names the gene UXT-AS1. The record is from Ensembl. Lineage: Eukaryota; Metazoa; Chordata; Mammalia; Primates; Hominidae.
AAUCUCAUCCAACGCCCAUGCACCUGCAGGGAUCCUCCCUUGUGGCCCUCUCCCUGCUUGAAGUCCCACCCGAAAAGCUUGGGGACAUAGCAGCAGCUGCCUCGGUACAGAGGACUAAUAAAUUUUGUUUGAUGCUCUCUCUCCAUACUACAAUGCCUGGACCGAGAUUCCAGCUUUGGCCAUGGGGAGCUCCUUCAUGCUGGUUCCUGCAUCCUUCAGACAUGCCCUGUCCUUCUGUGAGCACUGUCUUACUUUCUGACCCCACAAGAUAUUUCAGGCUCAUCUUGUAGUUUCCCUGCUCCAGUCCUGGACUCAGCCACUUCUCCAAGAACCUCUGAUUCUUUUUCUUAGAGAAUGGUAUUGAGAAGCCAAGAUCUGGGGACUAAGUGUUCAACUUGUGUUCCACUGUUACUUUAAUGUAUCCCUGGAAUCCAAUCAAGAGAUAGAAACCACAUGGUAGUUUAAAUAGAGAAUGUUUAAUAUAACUAUUAACUAUAACAGGAGAUUGGAGAAAUGGGGGAUUGGCUAGUAAGAGGUAAGAAGAACCCUCACUGCUCCCAAAACAAAGGAGGAAUAUCAGAUUUAGGGAGUAGCCAUUGUCCCCAGUGCCUAAGAAAGAGGCCACUCUCCAUCUUUCCACCCCCUCUCAGAACCAGACCUCACUGGAAAGGGCUCCACUGUGACCUACUGGAUGGCAGAGAAGAUUGCUGGGGUGCUUUGGAAAUCUGCCCUCUGUAAUGCAGAAGGAAGCUGUCCAUGGGCAGGAGUCAUGCUUUGGAACUCACAGCAAAGUCACUAGAGGGCUGCCGGGGGAAGCUGUUCAUAGGGAUGUGCCACAUGCUGCUGGCCACUGGGCACUGCUGGCCACCUAGAGAUGCAUUGUGUAAGCCGCAGAUGCUGCAGGAGCCUGAUGAGGGGAGCUCAUGAGAACCAGGAAGAGAAAUCUCUUCCUCUUCCAAAGUCUUUCUAGUGCCCUCUACUGAUAAUUGGAACAUUUAGGUGAAUUCUUCUGUUUCCCAUGUUCUUCAGUGUCACUAUGCUAUUCAUUUUUAAUACAUGUAUGUUCAUUUGUUAGUUUAUAUGCCAUUUAGAGUUUCCCCCACAUCAUAGUCCAUUUUGAAUUUGAUUUUUUUAGGGUAUGUGAAACAGUAUGGUUCCAAGAGAAAAAGCUGCACAAAAGGUCCCUUCAAAGAAGUGCCACUUAUCUCAUCCCUACUAUCCUGUCCCUUUCCCACCAUCCCCUUAUAAGUAAGUAAUCUCUUUAGUUUCUAUUAUAGUUUAUUCACCUGUAUUUCUUUUGCACAAGUGAGCAGGUACAUGUAUGUCUUCUUAUAUCCCUUCUUUCUGUGAAGGAUAGCAUACAGUAGAUAUUCUUUAGAGCUUUGCUUUUUCACUUACAGAUAUGUCCUAGAAAUUUUUCUGUAUUAAUUCAUGAUAUUCCUCUUUUUAACAGU